UACAGAGGGUGCGAGCGUUAAUCGGAGUUACUGGGCGUAAAGCGUGCGCAGGCGGUUAUGUAAGACAGAUGUGAAAUGCCCGGGCUUAACCUGGGAACUGCAUUUGUGACUGCAUGGCUAGAGUUUGGCAGAGGGGGGUGGAAUUCCACGUGUAGCAGUGAAAUGCGUAGAUAUGUGGAGGAACACCGAUGGCGAAGGCAGCCCCCUGGGUCAAGACUGACGCUCAUGCACGAAAGCGUGGGGAGCAAACAGG
This 253-nucleotide ribosomal RNA is filed under the name uncultured bacterium. RNAcentral's name for it is "partial 16S ribosomal RNA". It matches the Rfam family "Bacterial small subunit ribosomal RNA", at positions 524 to 776 of the family's 1533-position model. The record is from RNAcentral.